AGCAGCCGCGGUAAUUCCAGCUCCAAUAGCGUAUAUUAAAGUUGUUGCAGUUAAAAGCUCGUAGUUGAAUUUCGGGAUCAAUAUGUUGGUCGUGCCUCGGUACGUACUAGCAUAUUGGUUUCUCCUUUCUGAAGAACCAUGAUGUCAUUUAUUUGGUGUCGUGGGGAAUCAGGACUGUUACUUUGAAAAAUUGAGUGUUUAAAGCAGGCUCACGCUUGAAUACAUUAGCAUGGAAUAAUGAAAUAGGACGUUUGAUUCUAUUUUGUUGGCUUCUAGGAUCGACGUAAUGAUUAAUAGGGAUAGUUGGGGGCAUUAGUAUUCAAUUGUCAGAGGUGAAAUUCUUGGAUUUAUUGAAGACUAACUACUGCGAAAGCAUUUGCCAAGGAUGUUUUCAUUAAUCAAGAACGAAAGUUAGGGGAUCGAAGACGAUCAGAUACCGUCGUAGUCUUAACCAUAAACUAUGCCGACUAGGGAUCGGAUGAUGUUAAUUUUUUAAUUGACUCACUC
Molecule: unclassified non-coding RNA, 507 nt
Filed under: uncultured Glomus
Lineage: Eukaryota; Fungi; Glomeromycota; Glomeromycetes; Glomerales; Glomeraceae
Description: SSU rRNA
Rfam family: Eukaryotic small subunit ribosomal RNA
Source: RNAcentral